AACGCUGGCGGCGUGCCUAAUACAUGCAAGUCGAACGGUCUUUUCUAUGGAAGCUUGCUUCCACUGAAGAGAUAGUGGCGAACGGGUGAGUAACACGUGGGUAACCUGCCCAUAAGAGGGGGAUAACAUCCGGAAACGGGUGCUAAUACCGCAUAGUUUUCUUGAUCGCAUGAUCGGGAAAGGAAAGACGGCCUUUGUGCUGUCGCUUAUGGAUGGACCCGCGGCGUAUUAGUUAGUUGGUGAGGUAACGGCUCACCAAGACGAUGAUACGUAGCCGACCUGAGAGGGUGAUCGGCCACAUUGGGACUGAGACACGGCCCAAACUCCUACGGGAGGCAGCAGUAGGGAAUCUUCCGCAAUGGACGAAAGUCUGACGGAGCAACGCCGCGUGAGUGAAGAAGGUUUUUCCGGAUCGUAAAACUCUGUUGUCAGAGAAGAACAAGUUGGAGAGUAACUGCUCCAGCCUUGACGGUAUCUGACCAGAAAGCCACGGCUAACUACGUGCCAGCAGCCGC
RNAcentral lists this ribosomal RNA (515 nucleotides) under uncultured bacterium. RNAcentral describes it as "bacterial SSU rRNA". It matches the Rfam family "Bacterial small subunit ribosomal RNA", at positions 32 to 518 of the family's 1533-position model. The record is from RNAcentral.